This 333-nucleotide ribosomal RNA is filed under the name Diplocentrus silanesi. RNAcentral describes it as "partial 12S ribosomal RNA". The record is from RNAcentral. Lineage: Eukaryota; Metazoa; Arthropoda; Arachnida; Scorpiones; Diplocentridae.
UAGGAUAUUAACUAAUUGGGUAGUAACGAGCCAUCUGAAACCCAAAGGAUUUGGCGGUGUUCCAUACAGUUGGGGGAAUCUGUUACAUAAUUGACAGUCCACAUCUCAUCUUGCCUCACUUCUACCUGCAUAUCGCCAUUUUAAGAGGCUGCUCAAAAAUACUCUCUAACCCAAUUCUAUCCCACAAAUUAGGUCAAGAUACAGUAUAGUAAGGUCGUAAUGGAUUACAAUGCCAAUUAAGUAAACGGAUCGGCUAGAGAAACUAGCCCUGAAGGUGGAUUCAACAGUAAUAUGAGAGUAAAGUGCUCAUAUGGACAGAUACCUGGAACAUGU